Molecule: ribosomal RNA, 635 nt
Filed under: uncultured bacterium
Lineage: Bacteria
Description: bacterial SSU rRNA
Rfam family: Bacterial small subunit ribosomal RNA (bases 1-542)
Source: RNAcentral
CCUACGGGAGGCAGCAGUGGGGAAUUUUGGACAAUGGGCGAAAGCCUGAUCCAGCCAUGCCGCGUGCAGGAUGAAGGCCUUCGGGUUGUAAACUGCUUUUGUACGGAACGAAAAGGUCUUUUCUAAUAAAGAGGGCCCAUGACGGUACCGUAAGAAUAAGCACCGGCUAACUACGUGCCAGCAGCCGCGGUAAUACGUAGGGUGCAAGCGUUAAUCGGAAUUACUGGGCGUAAAGCGUGCGCAGGCGGUUAUAUAAGACAGUUGUGAAAUCCCCGGGCUCAACCUGGGAACUGCAUCUGUGACUGUAUAGCUAGAGUACGGUAGAGGGGGAUGGAAUUCCGCGUGUAGCAGUGAAAUGCGUAGAUAUGCGGAGGAACACCGAUGGCGAAGGCAAUCCCCUGGACCUGUACUGACGCUCAUGCACGAAAGCGUGGGGAGCAAACAGGAUUAGAUACCCUGGUAGUCCACGCCCUAAACGAUGUCAACUGGUUNUUGGGUCUUCACUGACUCAGUAACGAAGCUAACGCGUGAAGUUGACCGCCUGGGGAGGACGGUCCGGCGAGUUAGUUAACGUUAAAGUUAGUUAGUUAGACGGCGUUGAGGACGUUGCCGACGGACGACGACGAGGGAGGAGG